UACGGAGGGUGCAAGCGUUAUCCGGAUUUAUUGGGUUUAAAGGGUCCGCAGGCGGAUCGUUAAGUCAGUGGUGAAAGCCCACAGCUCAACUGUGGAAUUGCCAUUGAUACUGGCGGUCUUGAGUAUGUAUGAAGUUGGCGGUAUGUGUGGUGUAGCGGUGAAAUGCUUAGAUAUCACACAGAACACCGAUUGCGAAGGCAGCUGGCUAAUACAUAACUGACGCUGAGGGACGAAAGUGUGGGGAUCAAACAGG
This 253-nucleotide ribosomal RNA is filed under the name uncultured bacterium. Its description in RNAcentral is "partial 16S ribosomal RNA". It matches the Rfam family "Bacterial small subunit ribosomal RNA", at positions 524 to 776 of the family's 1533-position model. The record is from RNAcentral.